Molecule: non-coding RNA, 178 nt
Organism: Pelobates cultripes (western spadefoot toad)
Lineage: Eukaryota; Metazoa; Chordata; Amphibia; Anura; Pelobatidae
Source: the annotation of a GenBank genome assembly
CAUGGGCACACAGAUACUAGGGACACUGGGAGACAUGGGAACACAGACACUAGGGACACUGAGACAUCAGGGACACUGGCUGGGAGACAUGGGGACACUGAAACACUUGGGGAUAUUGUGUCCCUAGUGUUUCAGUGUUCCCAUGUCUCCCAGUGUCCCCAUGUAUGUCUGUGUCCCC